UACAGAGGUCCCGAGCGUUGUUCGGAUUCACUGGGCGUAAAGGGUGCGUAGGUGGCGGGGUAAGUCUGAUGUGAAAUCUCCAAGCUUAACUUGGAAAUGGCAUUGGAAACUACUCUGCUCGAGGGUUGGAGGGGGGACUGGAAUGCUUGGUGUAGCAGUGAAAUGCGUAGAUAUCAAGUGAAACACCAGUGGCGAAGGCGAGUCCCUGGACAACUCCUGACACUGAGGCACGAAAGCUAGGGGAGCAAACAGG
Molecule: ribosomal RNA, 253 nt
Filed under: uncultured bacterium
Lineage: Bacteria
Description: partial 16S ribosomal RNA
Rfam family: Bacterial small subunit ribosomal RNA
Source: RNAcentral